AUGUUUGGAAUCCACACGAAUAAGUUCCUCGGAUUUUACUUAAUCGAAAGAGGGAUUGAAGCAAAUUCGGAUAAAUGCAGAGCUUUCAUUGAGAUACCUACUCCAAAGAAAUCAAUCUAAAUGUUGGAAGACGUCUAAUAUGCCCCUCCUUUCUACAGGUUGUUGAGGAAGGAAUCUGCAUCUGAAUGGUCUGAAGAAUGCGAAUUUGAAGCGACUCUAGCCCGACUUAAACAUGCCCUAUCUCAAAUACCAAUUCUCUAAUGAUCCAAAAAGGGAGAGAUAAUGUUCAUAUAUCUAUCAAUUUCGGCAAAAGCAAUCAAUGAGCCUUGAUUAGAGAGAGCGACAGAGGUCAAAAACUCAUCUAUUUCACCAACAAAGCAUUACAAGGACCUGAAAUACGGUAUAUCAAAAUAGAAAAGUAGUCCUCACCCUAGUGAUGACCACAAGACAAUCAUACAAAAACUCAAAGAAAAACACAAUCUUACAAAAAUCUUUUCA
This 498-nucleotide long non-coding RNA is filed under the name Medicago truncatula (barrel medic). RNAcentral's name for it is "lncRNA gene45357". The record is from RNAcentral. Lineage: Eukaryota; Viridiplantae; Streptophyta; Magnoliopsida; Fabales; Fabaceae.